RNAcentral lists this long non-coding RNA (562 nucleotides) under Elaeis guineensis (African oil palm). Its description in RNAcentral is "long non-coding RNA (EGUI_LNC031889)". The record is from RNAcentral. Lineage: Eukaryota; Viridiplantae; Streptophyta; Magnoliopsida; Arecales; Arecaceae.
AAACUAUCUGAUUGACAUGAAUCCUCAUAAAUCUAGCAUUCCACUAUACUAUUAAUAGAUCAUUUGAUCCUCAAUCUAAUUAUCUUAAAUAAUUAUUCUCCCAGUGCCAUGUCGGAACUUAAAAAAAAAGAAAAUAUUUCAUUAAAUGCUGAGCACUCUUCCAGCACCACAUUGGAGCUUAAAAAAAAAUAUUUCACUAAAUGCUAGGACUCAUGUAUCUCGUCGUUCAUUCUCAUUGUCUCAAAACAUUGCUCUCCCAACUCCCCAUUGGAUUUUAAAAAAUUGAAAAAAGAUUCAUUAAUUGCUGAAACUCAUGUCUGUAUUUUUUUAAAAUCUUUGCCCUUGCCUCCAAAAAUAAAUAGAAAUACCCGCAUAAUAAACACAAAUACUUCCUGGAUAAAUAAGAAUCUUCUAGAAUAAAUAUCUACUUUGCAGCAAUAAACAGAAAUACUGUAGAAAUAAACAAAAACCGAACCACUAACCUUUAGUCACGCUGGGGCUUGCUCACCAUAAAUAACAAGAAUGAAGAAUAAACAUAAAAUUUGAACAAAGUCAAUACAAA